RNAcentral lists this ribosomal RNA (1310 nucleotides) under Lactiplantibacillus plantarum. RNAcentral's name for it is "bacterial SSU rRNA". It matches the Rfam family "Bacterial small subunit ribosomal RNA", at positions 103 to 1400 of the family's 1533-position model. The record is from RNAcentral. Lineage: Bacteria; Bacillati; Bacillota; Bacilli; Lactobacillales; Lactobacillaceae.
CUGGUGAGUAACACGUGGGAAACCUGCCCAGAAGCGGGGGAUAACACCUGGAAACAGAUGCUAAUACCGCAUAACAACUUGGACCGCAUGGUCCGAGCUUGAAAGAUGGCUUCGGCUAUCACUUUUGGAUGGUCCCGCGGCGUAUUAGCUAGAUGGUGGGGUAACGGCUCACCAUGGCAAUGAUACGUAGCCGACCUGAGAGGGUAAUCGGCCACAUUGGGACUGAGACACGGCCCAAACUCCUACGGGAGGCAGCAGUAGGGAAUCUUCCACAAUGGACGAAAGUCUGAUGGAGCAACGCCGCGUGAGUGAAGAAGGGUUUCGGCUCGUAAAACUCUGUUGUUAAAGAAGAACAUAUCUGAGAGUAACUGUUCAGGUAUUGACGGUAUUUAACCAGAAAGCCACGGCUAACUACGUGCCAGCAGCCGCGGUAAUACGUAGGUGGCAAGCGUUGUCCGGAUUUAUUGGGCGUAAAGCGAGCGCAGGCGGUUUUUUAAGUCUGAUGUGAAAGCCUUCGGCUCAACCGAAGAAGUGCAUCGGAAACUGGGAAACUUGAGUGCAGAAGAGGACAGUGGAACUCCAUGUGUAGCGGUGAAAUGCGUAGAUAUAUGGAAGAACACCAGUGGCGAAGGCGGCUGUCUGGUCUGUAACUGACGCUGAGGCUCGAAAGUAUGGGUAGCAAACAGGAUUAGAUACCCUGGUAGUCCAUACCGUAAACGAUGAAUGCUAAGUGUUGGAGGGUUUCCGCCCUUCAGUGCUGCAGCUAACGCAUUAAGCAUUCCGCCUGGGGAGUACGGCCGCAAGGCUGAAACUCAAAGGAAUUGACGGGGGCCCGCACAAGCGGUGGAGCAUGUGGUUUAAUUCGAAGCUACGCGAAGAACCUUACCAGGUCUUGACAUACUAUGCAAAUCUAAGAGAUUAGACGUUCCCUUCGGGGACAUGGAUACAGGUGGUGCAUGGUUGUCGUCAGCUCGUGUCGUGAGAUGUUGGGUUAAGUCCCGCAACGAGCGCAACCCUUAUUAUCAGUUGCCAGCAUUAAGUUGGGCACUCUGGUGAGACUGCCGGUGACAAACCGGAGGAAGGUGGGGAUGACGUCAAAUCAUCAUGCCCCUUAUGACCUGGGCUACACACGUGCUACAAUGGAUGGUACAACGAGUUGCGAACUCGCGAGAGUAAGCUAAUCUCUUAAAGCCAUUCUCAGUUCGGAUUGUAGGCUGCAACUCGCCUACAUGAAGUCGGAAUCGCUAGUAAUCGCGGAUCAGCAUGCCGCGGUGAAUACGUUCCCGGGCCUUGUACACACCGCCCGUCAC